This 70-nucleotide transfer RNA is filed under the name Squatina nebulosa (clouded angelshark). Its description in RNAcentral is "tRNA-Gly". It matches the Rfam family "tRNA". From Rfam's summary of the family: Transfer RNA (tRNA) molecules are approximately 80 nucleotides in length. Their secondary structure includes four short double-helical elements and three loops (D, anti-codon, and T loops). Further hydrogen bonds mediate the characteristic L-shaped molecular structure. tRNAs have two regions of fundamental functional importance: the anti-codon, which is responsible for specific mRNA codon recognition, and the 3' end, to which the tRNAs corresponding amino acid is attached (by aminoacyl-tRNA synthetases). tRNAs cope with the degeneracy of the genetic code in two manners: having more than one tRNA (with a specific anti-codon) for a particular amino acid; and 'wobble' base-pairing, i.e. permitting non-standard base-pairing at the 3rd anti-codon position. Lineage: Eukaryota; Metazoa; Chordata; Chondrichthyes; Squatinidae. The record is from RNAcentral. RNAcentral also lists the same sequence under 1 other name.
ACCUUUCUAGUAUAAUCUAGUACAAAUGAUUUCCAAUUAUUUAAUCUUGGUUAAAAUCCAAGGAAAAGUA